AGAGUUUGAUCCUGGCUCAGAUUGAACGCUGGCGGCAUGCCUUACACAUGCAAGUCGAACGGCAGCACGGGGGCAACCCUGGUGGCGAGUGGCGAACGGGUGAGUAAUGCAUCGGAACGUGCCCAGUAGUGGGGGAUAGCUCGGCGAAAGCCGAAUUAAUACCGCAUACGUACUGAGGUAGAAAGCGGGGGACCGUAAGGCCUCGCGCUACUGGAGCGGCCGAUGUCGGAUUAGCUUGUUGGUGGGGUAAAAGCCUACCAAGGCGACGAUCCGUAACUGGUCUGAGAGGACGACCAGUCACACUGGGACUGAGACACGGCCCAGACUCCUACGGGAGGCAGCAGUGGGGAAUUUUGGACAAUGGGCGCAAGCCUGAUCCAGCAAUGCCGCGUGUGUGAAGAAGGCCUUCGGGUUGUAAAGCACUUUUGUCCGGGAAGAAAUCUGUCUGGCUAAUACCUGGACGGGAUGACGGUACCGGAGGAAUAAGCACCGGCUAACUACGUGCCAGCAGCCGCGGUAAUACGUAGGGUGCGAGCGUUAAUCGGAAUUACUGGGCGUAAAGCGUGCGCAGGCGGCUCUGUAAGACAGAUGUGAAAUCCCCGGGCUCAACCUGGGAACUGCAUUUGUGACUGCAAGGCUAGAGUGCGUCAGAGGGAGGUGGAAUUCCGCGUGUAGCAGUGAAAUGCGUAGAUAUCGAGAGGAACACCCGUGGCGAAGGCGAGUCUCUGGACCAUUCCUGACACUGAGGCACGAAAGCCGGGGGAGCAAACAGGAUUAGAUACCCUGGUAGUCCCGGCCCUAAACUGUGCGCAUUUGCUGUGGGCGGAAUCGACCCCGCCCGUGGCGAAGCUAACGCGUUAAAUGCGCCGCCUGGGGAGUACGGCCGCAAGGUUAAAACUCAAAGAAAUUGACGGGGGCCUGCACAAGCGGUGGAGUAUGUGGCUUAAUUCGAUGCAACGCGAAGAACCUUACCUGGCCUUGACAUGCAGAUGGUAGAAGCCUGAAAGGGUGACGACCCCGCAAGGGGAGUCUGCACAGGUGCUGCAUGGCUGUCGUCAGCUCGUGUCGUGAGAUGUUGGGUUAAGUCCCGCAACGAGCGCAACCCCUUUGUCCUGUUGCCACCGGGAUGAGAGUCCCGAGCACUCUGGACAGACUGCCCCGUCCAAACGGGGAGGAAGGUGGGGAUGACGUCAAGUCAGUAUGGCCCUUACGGCCAGGGCUGCACACGUACUACAAUGCCCGGUACAAAGGGAAGCAAGGCGGCAACGCGGAGCCAACCCCCAAAACCGGGCCCAGUUCAGAUUGCCGGCUGCAACUCGCCGGCAUGAAGCUGGAAUCGCUAGUAUGGCGCAUCAGCUACGGCGCCGUGAAUACGUUCCCAGGCCUUGUACACACCGCCCGUCACAUCAUGAAAGCCGGUUGUACCCGAAGUCGCCGCGCCAACCGCAAGGAGGCAGGCGCCGAAGGUAUGGCUGGUGAUUGGGAUGAAGUCGUAACAAGGUA
RNAcentral lists this ribosomal RNA (1503 nucleotides) under metagenome. RNAcentral's name for it is "bacterial SSU rRNA". It matches the Rfam family "Bacterial small subunit ribosomal RNA". The record is from RNAcentral.